RNAcentral lists this ribosomal RNA (403 nucleotides) under uncultured bacterium. RNAcentral describes it as "partial 16S ribosomal RNA". It matches the Rfam family "Bacterial small subunit ribosomal RNA", at positions 28 to 526 of the family's 1533-position model. The record is from RNAcentral.
GACGAACGCUGGCGGCGUGCCUAAUACAUGCAAGUCGAACGCAGGGGGGACGGGUGAGUAACACGUGGGUAACCUCCCAUCAGAGGGGAGAACACUUGGAAACAGGUGCUAAACCGAUAUUGAAGGAUGGACCCGCGGUGCAUUAGCUAGUUGGUGGGGUAACGGCUCACCAAGGCCAUGAUGCACAGCCGAACUGAGAAGGUGAUUGUCCACACUGGGACUGAGACCCGGCCCAGACUCCUACGGGAGGAAGCAGUAGUGAAACUUCGGCUAUGGACGAAAGUCUGACCGAGCGACGCCGCGUGAGUGAAGAAGAUUUUCGGAACGUAAAACUCUUUUGUUAGAAAAGCGAUAUCUAACCAGAAAGCAACGGCUAACUACGUGCCAGCAGCCGCGGUAAUUC